GAGGAGCUUGCUCUUCUUGGAUGAGUUGCGAACGGGUGAGUAACGCGUAGGUAACCUGCCUUGUAGCGGGGGAUAACUAUUGGAAACGAUAGCUAAUACCGCAUAACAAUGGAUGACACAUGUCAUUUAUUUGAAAGGGGCAAUUGCUCCACUACAAGAUGGACCUGCGUUGUAUUAGCUAGUAGGUGAGGUAAUGGCUCACCUAGGCGACGAUACAUAGCCGACCUGAGAGGGUGAUCGGCCACACUGGGACUGAGACACGGCCCAGACUCCUACGGGAGGCAGCAGUAGGGAAUCUUCGGCAAUGGGGGCAACCCUGACCGAGCAACGCCGCGUGAGUGAAGAAGGUUUUCGGAUCGUAAAGCUCUGUUGUAAGUCAAGAACGGGUGUGAGAGUGGAAAGUUCACACUGUGACGGUAGCUUACCAGAAAGGGACGGCUAACUACGUGCCAGCAGCCGCGGUAAUACGUAGGUCCCGAGCGUUGUCCGGAUUUAUUGGGCGUAAAGCGAGCGCAGGCGGUUUGAUAAGUCUGAAGUUAAAGGCUGUGGCUCAACCAUAGUUCGCUUUGGAAACUGUCAAACUUGAGUGCAGAAGGGGAGAGUGGAAUUCCAUGUGUAGCGGUGAAAUGCGUAGAUAUAUGGAGGAACACCGGUGGCGAAAGCGGCUCUCUGGUCUGUAACUGACGCUGAGGCUCGAAAGCGUGGGGAGCGAACAGGAUUAGAUACCCUGGUAGUCCACGCCGUAAACGAUGAGUGCUAGGUGUUGGAUCCUUUCCGGGAUUCAGUGCCGCAGCUAACGCAUUAAGCACUCCGCCUGGGGAGUACGACCGCAAGGUUGAAACUCAAAGGAAUUGACGGGGGCCCGCACAAGCGGUGGAGCAUGUGGUUUAAUUCGAAGCAACGCGAAGAACCUUACCAGGUCUUGACAUCCCGAUGCUAUUUCUAGAGAUAGAAAGUUACUUCGGUACAUCGGUGACAGGUGGUGCAUGGUUGUCGUCAGCUCGUGUCGUGAGAUGUUGGGUUAAGUCCCGCAACGAGCGCAACCCCUAUUGUUAGUUGCCAUCAUUCAGUUGGGCACUCUAGCGAGACUGCCGGUAAUAAACCGGAGGAAGGUGGGGAUGACGUCAAAUCAUCAUGCCCCUUAUGACCUGGGCUACACACGUGCUACAAUGGUUGGUACAACGAGUUGCGAGUCGGUGACGGCGAGCUAAUCUCUUAAAGCCAAUCUCAGUUCGGAUUGUAGGCUGCAACUCGCCUACAUGAAGUCGGAAUCGCUAGUAAUCGCGGAUCAGCACGCCGCGGUGAAUACGUUCCCGGGCCUUGUACACACCGCCCGUCACACCACGAGAGUUUGUAACACCCGAAGUCGGUGAG
Molecule: ribosomal RNA, 1374 nt
Filed under: Streptococcus lutetiensis
Lineage: Bacteria; Bacillati; Bacillota; Bacilli; Lactobacillales; Streptococcaceae
Description: bacterial SSU rRNA
Rfam family: Bacterial small subunit ribosomal RNA
Source: RNAcentral